RNAcentral lists this ribosomal RNA (778 nucleotides) under Microbacteriaceae bacterium. RNAcentral's name for it is "bacterial SSU rRNA". It matches the Rfam family "Bacterial small subunit ribosomal RNA", at positions 46 to 835 of the family's 1533-position model. Lineage: Bacteria; Bacillati; Actinomycetota; Actinomycetes; Micrococcales; Microbacteriaceae. The record is from RNAcentral.
GCUUAACACAUGCAAGUCGAACGGUGAACAGAGAGCUUGCUCUUUGGGAUCAGUGGCGAACGGGUGAGUAACACGUGAGUAACCUGCCCUUGACUCUGGGAUAAGCGUUGGAAACGACGUCUAAUACCGGAUACGAGCUGAGACCGCAUGGUCAUCAGUUGGAAAGAAUUUCGGUCAAGGAUGGACUCGCGGCCUAUCAGCUUGUUGGUGAGGUAAUGGCUCACCAAGGCGACGACGGGUAGCCGGCCUGAGAGGGUGACCGGCCACACUGGGACUGAGACACGGCCCAGACUCCUACGGGAGGCAGCAGUGGGGAAUAUUGCACAAUGGGCGCAAGCCUGAUGCAGCAACGCCGCGUGAGGGAUGACGGCCUUCGGGUUGUAAACCUCUUUUAGUAGGGAAGAAGCGAAAGUGACGGUACCUGCAGAAAAAGCACCGGCUAACUACGUGCCAGCAGCCGCGGUAAUACGUAGGGUGCAAGCGUUGUCCGGAAUUAUUGGGCGUAAAGAGCUCGUAGGCGGUUUGUCGCGUCUGCUGUGAAAACUGGAGGCUCAACCUCCAGCCUGCAGUGGGUACGGGCAGACUAGAGUGCGGUAGGGGAGAUUGGAAUUCCUGGUGUAGCGGUGGAAUGCGCAGAUAUCAGGAGGAACACCGAUGGCGAAGGCAGAUCUCUGGGCCGUAACUGACGCUGAGGAGCGAAAGCGUGGGGAGCGAACAGGAUUAGAUACCCUGGUAGUCCACGCCGUAAACGUUGGGAACUAGAUGUGGGGACCAUUCC